GAUGAAGAACGCAGCGAAAUGCGAUAAGUAAUGUGAAUUGCAGAAUUCAGUGAAUCAUCGAAUCUUUGAACGCACAUUGCGCCCGCCAGUAUUCUGGCGGGCAUGCCUGUUCGAGCGUCAUUACAACCCUCAGGCCCCCGGGCCUGGCGUUGGGGAUCGGCGGAGCCCCCCGUGGGCACACGCCGUCCCCCAAAUGCAGUGGCGGCCCCGCCGCAGCUUCCAUCGCGUAGUAGCUAACACCUCGCGACUGGAGAGCGGCGCGGCCACGCCGUAAAACACCCAACUCUUCUGAAGUUGACCUCGAAUCAGGUAGGAAUACCCGCUGAACUUAAGCAUAUCAAUAAGCGGAGGA
Molecule: unclassified non-coding RNA, 352 nt
Filed under: soil metagenome
Description: partial contains 5.8S ribosomal RNA, internal transcribed spacer 2, and large subunit ribosomal RNA
Rfam family: 5.8S ribosomal RNA (bases 1-120)
Source: RNAcentral